CCUUUGUGACGCACCUAGCAGUUUCUUCGGCAGAAGGCCCUUCAGGGGGCGGCCCGCCGGAGGCAUACCAACUCUUGUUUUUUUGGCAUCUCUGAGUAGCUUAUGAAAUAAGUUAAAACUUUCAACAACGGAUCUCUUGGUUCUGGCAUCGAUGAAGAACGCAGCGAAAUGCGAUACGUAAUGUGAAUUGCAGAAUUCAGUGAAUCAUCGAAUCUUUGAACGCACAUUGCGCCCGCCAGUAUUCUGGCGGGCAUGCCUGUUCGAGCGUCAUUUCAACCGUCAAGCCCCAGGCUUGUGUUGGAGCCCUGCGGCCGCCCGCAGCCUCCUAAAACCAGUGGCGGGCUUGCAAACAUCCCGAGCGCAGUAGUUUACUCCUCUCUCUGGCAUGUAGCAGGUUCCAGCCGUGAAACCCCCCCACGGCGAGUGAAGCGGCAACAGCUCAAAUUUGAAAUCUGGCUCCGGCCCGAGUUGUAAUUUGCAGAGGAAGCUUCUGGUGAUAUACUGUCUAAGUCCCCUGGAACGGGGCGCCACAGUGGGUGAGAGCCCCAUUUGACAGCUGUAGAUCCUGUGUGAAGCUCCUUCGACGAGUCGAGUAGUUUGGGAAUGCUGCUCAAAAUGGGAGGUAAAUUCCUUCUAAAGCUAAAUAUUGGCCAGAGACCGAUAGCGCACAAGUAGAGUGAUCGAAAGAUGAAAAGCACUUUGAAAAGAGAGUUAAACAGCACGUGAAAUUGUUGAAAGGGAAGCGCUUGUGACCAGACUUGCGCUGGGCUGAUCAUCCGGUGUUCUCACCGGUGCACUCGGCCCAGCUCAGGCCAGCAUCGGUUUUGGUGGGGGGAUAAAGGCGCUGGGAACGUAGCUCCUCCGGGAGUGUUAUAGCCCAGCGUGCAAUACCCCCGCUGGGACCGAGGUUUGCGCAUCUGCAAGGAUGCUGGCGUAAUGGUCAUCAGCGACCCGUCUUGAAACACGGACCAAGGAGUCAAGGUUUUGCGCGAGUGUUUGGGUGUCAAACCCGCACGCGUAAUGAAAGUGAACGUAGGUGAGAGCUUCGGCGCAUCAUCGACCGAUCCUGAUGUAUUCGGAUGGAUUUGAGUAAGAGCGUU
This 1100-nucleotide small RNA is filed under the name Sordariales sp. TK29. Its description in RNAcentral is "eukaryotic LSU rRNA". The stretch from base 328 to 1100 matches the Rfam family "Eukaryotic large subunit ribosomal RNA", at positions 1 to 804 of the family's 3401-position model. Lineage: Eukaryota; Fungi; Ascomycota; Sordariomycetes; Sordariales. The record is from RNAcentral.